UACGGGGGGGGCAAGCGUUGUUCGGAAUUACUGGGCGUAAAGGGCUCGUAGGCGGCCAACUAAGUCGGAUGUGAAAUCCCCAGGCUCAACUUGGGAACUGCACCCGAUACUGGAUGGCUUGAAUCCGGGAGAGGGAUGCAGAAUUCCAGGUGUAGCGGUGAAAUGCGUAGAUAUCUGGAGGAAUACCGGUGGCGAAGGCGGCAUCCUGGACCGGCAUUGACGCUGAGGAGCGAAAGCUAGGGGAGCAAACGGG
This 253-nucleotide ribosomal RNA is filed under the name uncultured bacterium. Its description in RNAcentral is "partial 16S ribosomal RNA". It matches the Rfam family "Bacterial small subunit ribosomal RNA", at positions 524 to 776 of the family's 1533-position model. The record is from RNAcentral.